ACGUGACUGAAACAUUCAUUUGCUUUCCUUUUCAGAUCACUGUGAAACAUGCAGAGAAGAGGCAAUUCUUUUCCAGAAGUGACCUUCUGGACAGAAUUGUGCUCUGAGUCAUAAUUUGACAUGGCAAAGCAUCUGAUACUGCCUUUGUGGAAGAGGCCAGAAGUGUGCCAAAAAAUUUCAGAAAUGUGGAAAAACAUCAUUCUCUGGACAGAAUAUUGAACAGGAUGAACAAGUGACGGUAACAAAUACAUCGAUAAGCUGGUCAUCCGUCUAGUACCUUGCAGGGAUGUUGAGCCUUUCAGGUUGUGCCCUCCUUCAGAAGAUGCUUGGUCUCAAUUCUAUUCAUAUGGCCAGAAAGGAAAAUUCAUGGAGAACUAGGGGAAAAUACGGAG
RNAcentral lists this long non-coding RNA (392 nucleotides) under Apteryx owenii (little spotted kiwi). RNAcentral describes it as "lncRNA (ENSAOWG00000002631.1)". The record is from RNAcentral. Lineage: Eukaryota; Metazoa; Chordata; Aves; Apterygiformes; Apterygidae.